GGGUUGUGAGGUUAAGCGACUAAGCGUACACGGUGGAUGCCCUGGCAGUCAGAGGCGAUGAAGGGCGUGCUAAUCUGCGAUAAGCGCCGGUAAGGUGAUAUGAACCGUUAUAACCGGCGAUACCCGAAUGGGGAAACCCAGUGUGAUUCGUCACACUAUCAUUAACUGAAUCCAUAGGUUAAUGAGGCGAACCGGGGGAACUGAAACAUCUAAGUACCCCGAGGAAAAGAAAUCAACCGAGAUUCCCCCAGUAGCGGCGAGCGAACGGGGAGGAGCCCAGAGCCUGAAUCAGCAUGUGUGUUAGUGGAAGCGUCUGGAAAGGCGCGCGAUACAGGGUGACAGCCCCGUACACAAAAGCGCAUGUGCUGUGAGCUCGAUGAGUAGGGCGGGACACGUGGUAUCCUGUCUGAAUAUGGGGGGACCAUCCUCCAAGGCUAAAUACUCCUGACUGACCGAUAGUGAACCAGUACCGUGAGGGAAAGGCGAAAAGAACCCCGGCGAGGGGAGUGAAAAAGAACCUGAAACCGUGUACGUACAAGCAGUGGGAGCACCCUUCGGGGUGUGACUGCGUACCUUUUGUAUAAUGGGUCAGCGACUUAUAUUCUGUAGCAAGGUUAACCGAAUAGGGGAGCCGGAGGGAAACCGAGUCUUAAUUGGGCGUUAAGUUGCAGGGUAUAGACCCGAAACCCGGUGAUCUAGCCAUGGGCAGGUUGAAGGUUGGGUAACACUAACUGGAGGACCGAACCGACUAAUGUUGAAAAAUUAGCGGAUGACCUGUGGCUGGGGGUGAAAGGCCAAUCAAACCGGGAGAUAGCUGGUUCUCCCCGAAAGCUAUUUAGGUAGCGCCUCGUGAAUUCAUCUCCGGGGGUAGAGCACUGUUUCGGCUAGGGGGCCAUCCCGGCUUACCAACCCGAUGCAAACUGCGAAUACCGGAGAAUGUUAUCACGGGAGACACACGGCGGGUGCUAACGUCCGUCGUGAAGAGGGAAACAACCCAGACCGCCAGCUAAGGUCCCAAAGUCAUGGUUAAGUGGGAAACGAUGUGGGAAGGCCCAGACAGCCAGGAUGUUGGCUUAGAAGCAGCCAUCAUUUAAAGAAAGCGUAAUAGCUCACUGGUCGAGUCGGCCUGCGCGGAAGAUGUAACGGGGCUAAACCAUGCACCGAAGCUGCGGCAGCGAACGUAUCACCCAAGACAACUUUACGGAGUUGACGAUUGACGGAGCGAAGCGACGUCAAAGCGUUCAUUAAAGUCGAGUUGGCUUAGGGAUACGUUCGUUGGGUAGGGGAGCGUUCUGUAAGCCUGUGAAGGUGUGUCGUGAGGCAUGCUGGAGGUAUCAGAAGUGCGAAUGCUGACAUAAGUAACGAUAAAGCGGGUGAAAAGCCCGCUCGCCGGAAGACCAAGGGUUCCUGUCCAACGUUAAUCGGGGCAGGGUGAGUCGACCCCUAAGGCGAGGCCGAAAGGCGUAGUCGAUGGGAAACGGGUUAAUAUUCCCGUACUUGGUGUUACUGCGAAGGGGGGACGGAGAAGGCUAUGUUGGCCGGGCGACGGUUGUCCCGGUUUAAGGGUGUAGGUGUGUGUUCCAGGUAAAUCCGGUUCACUUUAACACUGAGGCGUGACGACGAGGCACUACGGUGCUGAAGCAACAAAUGCCCUGCUUCCAGGAAAAGCCUCUAAGCAUCAGGUAACACGAAAUCGUACCCCAAACCGACACAGGUGGUCAGGUAGAGAAUACCAAGGCGCUUGAGAGAACUCGGGUGAAGGAACUAGGCAAAAUGGUGCCGUAACUUCGGGAGAAGGCACGCUGACACGUAGGUGAAGUGAUUUACUCAUGGAGCUGAAGUCAGUCGAAGAUACCAGCUGGCUGCAACUGUUUAUUAAAAACACAGCACUGUGCAAACACGAAAGUGGACGUAUACGGUGUGACGCCUGCCCGGUGCCGGAAGGUUAAUUGAUGGGGUCAGCGUAAGCGAAGCUCCUGAUCGAAGCCCCGGUAAACGGCGGCCGUAACUAUAACGGUCCUAAGGUAGCGAAAUUCCUUGUCGGGUAAGUUCCGACCUGCACGAAUGGCGUAAUGAUGGCCAGGCUGUCUCCACCCGAGACUCAGUGAAAUUGAACUCGCUGUGAAGAUGCAGUGUACCCGCGGCAAGACGGAAAGACCCCGUGAACCUUUACUAUAGCUUGACACUGAACAUUGAGCCUUGAUGUGUAGGAUAGGUGGGAGGCUUUGAAGUGUGGACGCCAGUCUGCAUGGAGCCGACCUUGAAAUACCACCCUUUAAUGUUUGAUGUUCUAACGUGGACCCGUAAUCCGGGUUGCGGACAGUGUCUGGUGGGUAGUUUGACUGGGGCGGUCUCCUCCUAAAGAGUAACGGAGGAGCACGAAGGUUGGCUAAUCCUGGUCGGACAUCAGGAGGUUAGUGCAAUGGCAUAAGCCAGCUUGACUGCGAGCGUGACGGCGCGAGCAGGUGCGAAAGCAGGUCAUAGUGAUCCGGUGGUUCUGAAUGGAAGGGCCAUCGCUCAACGGAUAAAAGGUACUCCGGGGAUAACAGGCUGAUACCGCCCAAGAGUUCAUAUCGACGGCGGUGUUUGGCACCUCGAUGUCGGCUCAUCACAUCCUGGGGCUGAAGUAGGUCCCAAGGGUAUGGCUGUUCGCCAUUUAAAGUGGUACGCGAGCUGGGUUUAGAACGUCGUGAGACAGUUCGGUCCCUAUCUGCCGUGGGCGCUGGAGAACUGAGGGGGGCUGCUCCUAGUACGAGAGGACCGGAGUGGACGCAUCACUGGUGUUCGGGUUGUCAUGCCAAUGGCACUGCCCGGUAGCUAAAUGCGGAAGAGAUAAGUGCUGAAAGCAUCUAAGCACGAAACUUGCCCCGA
Molecule: ribosomal RNA, 2871 nt
Filed under: Salmonella enterica subsp. enterica serovar Typhimurium
Lineage: Bacteria; Pseudomonadati; Pseudomonadota; Gammaproteobacteria; Enterobacterales; Enterobacteriaceae
Description: partial 23S ribosomal RNA
Rfam family: Bacterial large subunit ribosomal RNA
Source: RNAcentral